This 449-nucleotide long non-coding RNA is filed under the name Sorghum bicolor (sorghum). RNAcentral's name for it is "long non-coding RNA (SBIC_LNC004740)". The record is from RNAcentral. Lineage: Eukaryota; Viridiplantae; Streptophyta; Magnoliopsida; Poales; Poaceae.
UUGUCUAAUCGAGCCAUGGAUCCAAAGGAACUCAGCAUAUAAUUAAAUGAAGAUGUGCAUGUGUGGUGGAGUAAAUGAUAGUGACGUGAAAAUAUAAGUAAUGAUAAAGCUUACUUCUCAUUGCUCCUCAUAUUGCUACCUCUCCUCUUCUUUGAUCUUUGCUUUGGGAGAACAUGGGCUAUCUUUCUCUUUUUUUUCAGGUGGGUAGUAGAUACCCCUAAUUCUACUCCGGACACUUGUCCAUUUUUACCUCUCGUCUCACUCUUUUUUCUUUCUUUUCCGAGGUUCCGGGCACUUGCCCCUUUUUAUUUCCUCACAUAUUUUUGCAUAACCCAUGCCUCUUCUGCAUUGAAUCUUUUUAGAGAGAGAGAAUAACAAUACUUGGAACAGUGAGUGAUAAUAUCUUUAGCAAUUUUAAUGAAUGGUGGAUGGUGUAGUGGAUGUGUGCA